This 23-nucleotide microRNA is filed under the name Gallus gallus (chicken). RNAcentral describes it as "gga-miR-6676-3p". The record is from miRBase by way of RNAcentral. Lineage: Eukaryota; Metazoa; Chordata; Aves; Galliformes; Phasianidae.
GCCCAAUGAUGUCUCUGAGGGGG